RNAcentral lists this ribosomal RNA (622 nucleotides) under uncultured soil bacterium. RNAcentral describes it as "bacterial SSU rRNA". It matches the Rfam family "Bacterial small subunit ribosomal RNA", at positions 55 to 685 of the family's 1533-position model. The record is from RNAcentral.
AUGCAAGUCGAACGAGUUCCAAGGAGUAGCAAUACUCCUGAAGAGCUAGUGGCGAACGGGUGAGUAACACGUGAGCAACCUGCCCCGAAGACUGGGAUAACAGCGGGAAACCGCUGCUAAUACCGGAUACCCCCAUUGGGUCACAUGGCCCGAUGAGGAAAUGGAUUCCGCUUCGGGAGGGGCUCGCGGCCUAUCAGCUUGUUGGUGGGGUAACGGCCCACCAAGGCGACGACGGGUAGCUGGUCUGAGAGGACGAUCAGCCACACUGGGACUGAGACACGGCCCAGACUCCUACGGGAGGCAGCAGUGGGGAAUAUUGCGCAAUGGGCGAAAGCCUGACGCAGCAACGCCGCGUGAGGGAUGACGGCCUUCGGGUUGUAAACCUCUUUCGAGCAGGGACGAUAAUGACGGUACCUGCAGAAGAAGCUCCGGCCAACUACGUGCCAGCAGCCGCGGUAAUACGUAGGGAGCGAGCGUUGUCCGGAUUCAUUGGGCGUAAAGAGCUCGUAGGCGGCUUGAUAAGUCGGAUGUGAAACCUCCAGGCUCAACCUGGAGUCGCCAUCCGAUACUGUCAUGGCUAGAGUCCGGUAGGGGCCCACGGAACUCCUGGUGUAGCGGUGAA